This 494-nucleotide ribosomal RNA is filed under the name uncultured bacterium. Its description in RNAcentral is "partial 16S ribosomal RNA". It matches the Rfam family "Bacterial small subunit ribosomal RNA", at positions 28 to 507 of the family's 1533-position model. The record is from RNAcentral.
GACGAACGCUGGCGGCGUGCUUAACACAUGCAAGUCGAACGGUGAAGCGCCUUCCUUUUUGGUGGGUGUGGAUGAGUGGCGAACGGGUGAGUAACAAGUGAGUAACCUGCCCCCUUCUUCUGGAUAACCGCAUGAAAGUGUGGCUAAUACGGGAUAUUCUGGGUCUGUCGCAUGAUGGGUCUGGGAAAGAUAUUGUUUCGGUGGGGGAUGGGCUCGCGGCCUAUCAGCUUGUUGGUGGGGUGAUGGCCUACCAAGGCGGUGACGGGUAGCCGGCCUGAGAGGGUGGACGGUCACACUGGGACUGAGACACGGCCCAGACUCCUACGGGAGGCAGCAGUGGGGAAUAUUGCACAAUGGGCGCAAGCCUGAUGCAGCGACGCCGCGUGAGGGAUGGAGGCCUUCGGGUUGUGAACCUCUUUCGCCAGUGAAGCAGGCCUGCCUCGUUUGUGGGUGGGUUGACGGUAGCUGGAGAAGAAGCGCCGGCUAACUACGUG